Molecule: ribosomal RNA, 467 nt
Filed under: uncultured bacterium
Lineage: Bacteria
Description: SSU rRNA
Rfam family: Bacterial small subunit ribosomal RNA
Source: RNAcentral
AGCCUGAACGCUGGCGGCGUGGCUAAGACAUGCAAGUCGCACGGAUGUAGCAAUACAUCAGUGGCGAACGGGUGAGUAAUGAAUCGCUAACGUACCCUGGACUUUGGGAUAGCUGAUCGAAAGGUCAGGUAAUACCAGAUGAUAUAACUCUGUCGCAUGACAGAGUUCUCAAAGGUCCGCCGGUCCUGGAGCGGGCGAUUUCGUAUCAGCUAGUUGGUGAGGUAACGGCUCACCAAGGCGACGACGCGUAGCCGGACUGAGAGGUUGGCCGGCCACAUUGGGACUGAGACACUGCCCAGACUCCUACGGGGGGCUGCAGUAACGAUCUUCCGCAAUGCACGAAAGUGUGACGGAGCGACGCCGCGUGUGGGACGAAGCCCUUCGGGGUGUAAACCACUGUCAGGGGAAAGAAAGUUCUGAUCUACCCCAGAGGAAGAGGCGGCUAACUCUGCGCCAGCAGCCGCGGU